GCCCGCCCUCGUCUCCGCCCCUGCGGGUGCUGCUCGUUAGGCCCCGCCCCGCACCCCGUCACCCCCGCCGCGCGACCCGCAGCCGCCGCCAGGGCCCUCUGCUGCCGCGGAGGUGCUAGGACAGCCGCGGACGGCCCGCCUCCCCGUGCCCCGGGCCUCGAGGCCAAUAAAAAGCUCGCCCCUCCAGCUCACCGGGUCCGACGGGUACGGUACAAAGUGCUGUCUCUCGCCACAGCCACCUUUGUGACAAUAAAAGCAAUAAGGCUAAUGUCCAUGGGGCGCUCACGGUGAGCUUUAGCUUUAUGAUAAAGGUUGGCCUGUUACCUCGUUUAAUCUUCACAACUGCCCCAUCAGCUAGGUACUCUUACUGUCCCCAGUUUAUGCAUGAACAAAGAAAGCUGAGAUACGGAGACGAGUGAUCCGUCGAGGUAAUAAACGGCACAGGUGGGGUUUGAACUCCAUCAGUUUGAUUGCAGAGGCCUGGAACAACCCUACAGGCUUCUCUCAGAUCUUUUCUGGACCUUUUUCUAUGCGCUUUGCACCUAGGACGUGAGGCUGCCAAGCUCGGUAUUCAAUAAAUAUUGACGGAUGAAGGAACAAUGGAAGAAAGGAGUGCAUGGGUAAACAAAUGACAAAUAUGUCAAAGCACAGAUGCAGAUUCUUAGAAUGGGCUAAUGCUGUUUUCUUCUGGAUUUUUGGAUGUGGGCAAGCGAGUUCUCUCACUAUACAGAUCCACAGUGUCUGGGUCAGAGGAGAACUGAUGCUCGGCAUGGCAUUUCACCAUUCUGCCUGCCUGCCUGGGGCCCUGGGCCCACAGGCUUUGAGGACAGUACAUGGCCAGGCUGCAGACUUCCUGGGAUAAAUCUCUGCCUUUUAGUCUCUUAUCCUACUUUUUAGAAGCCCUUUAAGGUCUUUGUAAAAGGAAAUCUAAUGUGAACAAUUCCAGGAAAACUGGAUAAGCCUGACUAUGGGUGGGCGUGGCUGAAUUACUUCCUGGGCUGGCUAAGGAAGGGCUCCCCCGAAGUGCAUCGGAAGCCUGCAGCUUCUCCUUAUGGCCACUGGAGGGCACUUGGACCAUGAAAUACCAGAUCGUCUCGGCGUCCCAGGUCUUUGGAGAUAUGUGAUUCAAUUCAACAAAAGUUUCAAAAUCAUCACCAUAAUGAUAGUGCUUUUGUGUUGAAUAUCCAAUAUGGCGCUAAACACCUUAUAUAUAUGUGUGCGUGUAUAUAUGAACUUGCUUAAUAUUCACUACAAUUGUUGUGAGUUACUUAGGCUAUUUAGGAAAAAAAAAAUCAAGGCUUAAAGAAGUCAAAGUACUUACCCAAGAUUGCUUAGCUAAAUAAAAUUUGGGAGUAAGGACUUGAACUCAAGCCCUUGGGCACCAACCAUAAGUAAUAGAUGCACACAAAGCUGAAAUGAGAACUCUCUUAUAAGCAGGAAGACGCACACACCACACAAAUAUUAUUGUUCCUGAACAAUUUACACAUUCUGAAAUUGGAAGAUGACUUACAAUUUGUACAUUACAUGGUAAUGUUUCUUUUUUCCCUUGAAAUAAUGUUAUUAAAUAAAUGAAGUGUCUCACAAU
This 1585-nucleotide non-coding RNA is filed under the name Pongo abelii (Sumatran orangutan). Lineage: Eukaryota; Metazoa; Chordata; Mammalia; Primates; Hominidae. The record is from RNAcentral.